RNAcentral lists this ribosomal RNA (280 nucleotides) under Subeucalanus subcrassus. RNAcentral's name for it is "partial 16S ribosomal RNA". Lineage: Eukaryota; Metazoa; Arthropoda; Copepoda; Calanoida; Eucalanidae. The record is from RNAcentral.
AAUUAGCCUCUUAAUUGGGGGAUAGUAUGAAUGGUAAUAUUGACCAGAUCCUAAUUUUUUUAUUGUGAAUUUUGAGUAAAGGUGAAAAUUCCUUUAUAAUAAUUUUAGACAAAAAGACCCUAUGAAGCUUACAAUGAAUAUAUAACAAAUUAAUUAAGAAUUGUUUCUUUGGGGAAAAGGUUAACGAUUGUAUUUUUAGAGUGUAAGAUCCUGAGAAGAACUACGAAAAAGCUCCCCUAGGGAUAACAGCGCCAUUUUAUUUUAAAGCCCACAUUAAAAA